This 497-nucleotide ribosomal RNA is filed under the name uncultured bacterium. RNAcentral's name for it is "partial 16S ribosomal RNA". It matches the Rfam family "Bacterial small subunit ribosomal RNA", at positions 28 to 507 of the family's 1533-position model. The record is from RNAcentral.
GAUGAACGCUGGCGGCGUGCCUAAUACAUGCAAGUCGAGCGAACAGAUGAGGAGCUUGCUCCUCUGACGUUAGCGGCGGACGGGUGAGUAACACGUGGAUAGCCUACCUAUAAGACUGGGAUAACUUCGGGAAACCGGAGCUAAUACCGGAUAAUAUAUUGAACCGCAUGGUUCAAUAGUGAAAGACGGUUUUGCUGUCACUUAUAGAUGGAUCCGCGCCGCAUUAGCUAGUUGGUAAGGUAACGGCUUACCAAGGCAACGAUGCGUAGCCGACCUGAGAGGGUGAUCGGCCACACUGGAACUGAGACACGGUCCAGACUCCUACGGGAGGCAGCAGUAGGGAAUCUUCCGCAAAGGGCGAAAGCCUGACGGAGCAACGCCGCGUGAGUGAUGAAGGUCUUCGGAUCGUAAAACUCUGUUAUUAGGGAAGAACAAAUGUGUAAGUAACUAUGCACGUCUUGACGGUACCUAAUCAGAAAGCCACGGCUAACUACGUG